Molecule: ribosomal RNA, 109 nt
Filed under: human gut metagenome
Source: RNAcentral
GUGCUGAUUACGACGAGGAUCCACCUGUUCCCAUUCCGAACACAGUAGUUAAGCUCGUUCGUGCCGACAAUACUUGGAGGGCAGCCUCCCGGAAAGAUAGGUCGGUGCC